This 489-nucleotide ribosomal RNA is filed under the name uncultured bacterium. RNAcentral describes it as "partial 16S ribosomal RNA". It matches the Rfam family "Bacterial small subunit ribosomal RNA", at positions 30 to 506 of the family's 1533-position model. The record is from RNAcentral.
AUUGAACGCUGGCGGCAGGCCUAACACAUGCAAGUCGAACGGUAACAGGAAACAGCUUGCUGUUUCGCUGACGAGUGGCGGACGGGUGAGUAAUGUCUGGGAAACUGCCUGAUGGAGGGGGAUAACUACUGGAAACGGUAGCUAAUACCGCAUAACGUCGCAAGACCAAAGAGGGGGACCUUCGGGCCUCUUGCCAUCGGAUGUGCCCAGAUGGGAUUAGCUAGUAGGUGGGGUAACGGCUCACCUAGGCGACGAUCCCUAGCUGGUCUGAGAGGAUGACCAGCCACACUGGAACUGAGACACGGUCCAGACUCCUACGGGAGGCAGCAGUGGGGAAUAUUGCACAAUGGGCGCAAGCCUGAUGCAGCCAUGCCGCGUGUAUGAAGAAGGCCUUCGGGUUGUAAAGUACUUUCAGCGGGGAUGAAGGGAGUAAAGUUAAUACCUUUGCUCAUGGACGUUACCCGCAGAAGAAGCACCGGCUAACUCCGU